AUUGAACGCUGGCGGCAUGCUUUACACAUGCAAGUCGAACGGUAACAGGCCGCACGUUGCUGUCGAGUGGCGACCGGGUGAGUAAUGCAUCGGCACGUGCCCCGUCGUGGGGGAUAACUACUCGCAAGAGUAGCUAAUACCGCAUACGAGCUAUGGUUGAAAGCGGGGGAGUUUAAUGCUUCGCGCCAGUUGUGCUGCCGCUGUCAGAUUAGGUAGUUGGUGGGGUAAAGGCUCACCAAGCCAACGAUCUGUAGCUGGUCUGAGAGGACGACCAGCCACACUGGGACUGAGACACGGCCCAGACUCCUACGGGAGGCAGCAGUGGGGAAUUUUGGACAAUGGGCGCAAGCCUGAUCCAGCAAUGCCGCGUGCAGGAAGAAGGCCUUCGGGUUGUAAACUGCUUUUGUACGGAACGAAACGGCUCUGGUUAAUACCCGGGGCUAAUGACGGUACCGUAAGAAUAAGCACCGGCUAACUACGUG
RNAcentral lists this ribosomal RNA (482 nucleotides) under uncultured bacterium. RNAcentral's name for it is "partial 16S ribosomal RNA". It matches the Rfam family "Bacterial small subunit ribosomal RNA", at positions 30 to 507 of the family's 1533-position model. The record is from RNAcentral.